Molecule: long non-coding RNA, 498 nt
Organism: Stomoxys calcitrans (stable fly)
Lineage: Eukaryota; Metazoa; Arthropoda; Insecta; Diptera; Muscidae
Exons: 2
Source: RefSeq, a predicted model, not a curated record
UUAAUAAAACAUUAUCAUAUUCCCGUUUUAUGUUUUCUUUAGCUACGACAAAUGAUGCCUAUGAUUAGAAUCCAUCAAUUCCAGGAAACUUCACAUGGCUGAAUGAAAAGUUGUACUGUAUUUCCUUAUGGUAGAUGUUCAAUACCAAUGCUAACAUCAACAAUGUAGGUCAAAGAAAUUUCCAAGAAAUCAUUAUGACAAACCCAAACCGCAGUUUCUAUAAUUAAUUGCUUUUUCGCUCGCCGCAAGGGAAUAACAAAUCAAGUUUGUUGUUUGUAUUUUGGUUUUAAUUUUGGCAUAUUGUUAUCACUAACGCAUUUCUUUAGAAAUUCUACAUUCUUUGGCAUUGACUUUGAAUGAAUUUUUUGAUUAGUAUAUUCCGGGGAUUUCUAGACCUCUGAUCUUAAAAACAAAAAAUACCGCAAAAUUUGUGUGAGACGCAUAACACCAAAUGUCAUCCCAAAUGGGUAAAUCCUAUGCAGAAGACAUUAAAAUCAA